UCGGGAAUUUUGUGCAAUGGACGAAAGUCUGAUGGAGCGACGCCGCGUGCAGGAUGAAGGCCUUAGGGUCGUAAACUGCGGUAGUACAGCAGCAAUGCAAAUGAGCGCUGUACGGAAAGAGGUGGGUAACUACGUGCCAGCACCAGCGGUAAUACGUAGGGUGCAAGCGUUAAUCGGAAUUACUGGGCGUAAAGCGUGCGCAGGCGGUUGUGUAAGUCAGAUGUGAAAUCCCCGGGCUCAACCUGGGAAUUGCAUUUGAGACUGCACGGCUAGAGUGUGUCAGAGGGGGGUAGAAUUCCACGUGUAGCAGUGAAAUGCGUAGAUAUGUGGAGGAAUACCGAUGGCGAAGGCAGCCCCCUGGGAUAACACUGACGCUCAUGCACGAAAGCGUGGGGAGCAAACAGGAUUAGAUACCCCCGUAGUCCCUGAGCGGGCUGGCAAGGCGCAU
This 448-nucleotide ribosomal RNA is filed under the name uncultured bacterium. RNAcentral's name for it is "bacterial SSU rRNA". It matches the Rfam family "Bacterial small subunit ribosomal RNA", at positions 355 to 825 of the family's 1533-position model. The record is from RNAcentral.